This 442-nucleotide ribosomal RNA is filed under the name uncultured bacterium. Its description in RNAcentral is "partial 16S ribosomal RNA". It matches the Rfam family "Bacterial small subunit ribosomal RNA", at positions 338 to 795 of the family's 1533-position model. The record is from RNAcentral.
CCUACGGGCGGCAGCAGUGGGGAAUAUUGGGCAAUGGACGCAAGUCUGACCCAGCAAAGUCGCGUGAAGGAAGACGGCCCUAGGGUUUUUAACCUCCUUUUAGGGGGAAGUGAAGAAGACGGUACCCCUUGAUUAAGCCAUGGCUAACUACGAGCCAGCAGCUGCGGCAAUGCGGAGGUGGCCGGCGUUUUCCGGAUUUCCUGGGUGUAACGGGCGUGCAGCCGGUGAGACAAGUCCGAUGGGAAAUCCACGGGCUCAACCCGUGAACUGCAGUUGAAACUGUUUCUCUUGAGUGUCGGAGAGGUAAGCGGAAUUCGUGGUGUAGCGGUGAAAUGCGUAGAUAUAAGGAAGAACACCAGUGGCGAAGGCAGAAUACUGGAGGAUAACUGACGGUGAUGCGCGAAAGCGUGGGGAUCGAACAGGAUUAGAUACCCGGGUAGUC